AAGUCGUAACAAGGUUUCCGUAGGUGAACCUGCGGAAGGAUCAGUAGAGAAAACUGGGUCUCACGACCCGAUCUACCCCACACACACCUGUGAACUGUUUAUAUGUCCUGACGGCCUUAACGGGUCCGACGGGCUACUUUACAAAACAUCUGUAACAAGUCUUGAACGUCAAUGUUAUAUCUUAACAAAAACAAAACUUUCAACAACGGAUCUCUUGGCUCCCACAUCG
Molecule: unclassified non-coding RNA, 229 nt
Filed under: Kwoniella dendrophila
Lineage: Eukaryota; Fungi; Basidiomycota; Tremellomycetes; Tremellales; Cryptococcaceae
Description: partial internal transcribed spacer region
Rfam family: Eukaryotic small subunit ribosomal RNA (bases 1-46)
Source: RNAcentral